This 311-nucleotide unclassified non-coding RNA is filed under the name uncultured fungus. Its description in RNAcentral is "sequence contains ITS2". The stretch from base 1 to 52 matches the Rfam family "5.8S ribosomal RNA", at positions 103 to 154 of the family's 154-position model. The record is from RNAcentral. Lineage: Eukaryota; Fungi.
AACGCACCUUGCGCUCCUUGGUAUUCCAAGGAGCAUGCCUGUUUGAGUGUCACGAAAAUCAUCAAACCGUUUAGACCAUUUUGUGGUCAACUCGGUAUUGGAUCUUGGGAUUUUUGCUGGUUUUCCAUUCUCUUUGGAAUGGAGGGAUCCAGCUAUCCUUAAAUGCAUUAGCAGGACUUUAUGCUUCUCCAGCAAUUUGGUGUUAAUAAAUCAUCUACGCCAUUGUUUGAAGUUCAGAGUUCAGCUUACAAUCAGUUUUGAAAAAUUGACUGUUUGACCUCAAAUCAGGUAGGACUACCCGCUGAACUUAA